CGGGUGUAGCUCAAUGGCAGAGCCCCAGCUUCCCAAGCUGAUUACGUGGGUUCGAUUCCCAUCACCC
Molecule: transfer RNA, 67 nt
Filed under: human gut metagenome
Also listed under: 2 other names
Rfam family: tRNA
About the family: Transfer RNA (tRNA) molecules are approximately 80 nucleotides in length. Their secondary structure includes four short double-helical elements and three loops (D, anti-codon, and T loops).
Source: RNAcentral